RNAcentral lists this ribosomal RNA (512 nucleotides) under uncultured bacterium. RNAcentral describes it as "bacterial SSU rRNA". It matches the Rfam family "Bacterial small subunit ribosomal RNA", at positions 15 to 518 of the family's 1533-position model. The record is from RNAcentral.
GAUUAUGGCUCAGGAUGAACGCUAGCGACAGGCUUAACACAUGCAAGUCGAGGGGCAUCACGGGAGUAGCAAUACAACUGGUGGCGACCGGCGCACGGGUGAGUAACGCGUAUGCAACCUACCUAUCAGAGGGGAAUAACCCGGCGAAAGUCGGACUAAUACCGCAUAAAACAGGGGCACCGCAUGGUGAUAUUUGUUAAAGAAAUUCGCUGAUAGAUGGGCAUGCGUUCCAUUAGGUAGUUGGUGAGGUAACGGCUCACCAAGCCGACGAUGGAUAGGGGAACUGAGAGGUUGGUCCCCCACACUGGUACUGAGACACGGACCAGACUCCUACGGGAGGCAGCAGUGAGGAAUAUUGGUCAAUGGGCGGGAGCCUGAACCAGCCAAGUCGCGUGAAGGAAGAAGGAUCUAUGGUUCGUAAACUUCUUUUGCAGGGGAAUAAAGUGCAGGACGUGUCCUGUUUUGUAUGUACCCUGAGAAUAAGGAUCGGCUAACUCCGUGCCAGCCGCCGC